RNAcentral lists this ribosomal RNA (473 nucleotides) under Tatianaerhynchites aequatus. Its description in RNAcentral is "partial 16S ribosomal RNA". Lineage: Eukaryota; Metazoa; Arthropoda; Insecta; Coleoptera; Attelabidae. The record is from RNAcentral.
CUUUAAAAUAAAUAUUUAAAGUUUAGCCUGCCCACUGAGGAGUUAAAUGGCCGCGGUAUUUUGACCGUGCAAAGGUAGCAUAAUCAAUAGUUUUUUAAUUGAAAGCUGGAAUGAAAGGUUGGAUGAGAAAAUAACUGUCUCUAUUAAAUAUCACUAGAAUUUUAUUUUUAAGUAAAAAAGCUUAAAUGAUUUUAAAAGACGAGAAGACCCUAUAGAGUUUUAUAAAUUGAUAUCAGUAAUAUAUUAGUAUUGUGUUGUUGCUUAUAUUUAUUUAUUUGGUUGGGGUGAUUGAAAAAUUUAAUGAACUUUUUUUUAAUUAAAACAUWACYUGAUGAUUAUAUGAUCCAUAAUAAUGVUUAAAAGAUUAAAUUACCUUAGGGAUAACAGCNUAAUUAUUCUUGAGAGUUCAAAUUGAAGGAUUAGAUUGCGACCUCGAUGUUGGAUUAAAAUUAAUUAAUGGUGCAGAAGCUAAA